UACUAACACGAGUCCGAUAGCAAACAAGUACCGUGAGGGAAAGUUGAAAAGUACUUUGAAGAGAGAGUAAACAGUGCGUGAAACUGCUCAAAGGUAAACAGGUGGAGUUGAACUGCAAGCUCUGGGGAUUCAGCUGAUGAGUUUAACUAGCGCUCGGGCUUAUUAGCCAGCCUUUAAUGUCUGUCUAACGGCAGGUACCUUCCCUUGAGGUUGGUAUGUGUGAUGCGCUUACCAUGUGCUGCACGCAUUGAGGUUGAGUGGUUUGCUUGUCAGUGCACUUUCUCGGAGUGUUCACCACGACCGUCACUGCUGUCUGUCUACUUUGGUCAAACUGAUCUGGUCUGGUUAUUACUAGGCUUGGUUGGGAUGGCAGGUGCCUCAUUGGUUCACUUGAUGGGCUAUGAGUGUAAUUAGCCGGCCAUUGUGGAUCUGUACGGUGUGUCGGAGAUGACGGCUUUGCAUGCGUGCUCUAUCCUUCGGGCGAGGUUGAGUCCGGUUGGCUUGUUACUGGCUUUGGCUGGUCGGUCGAUGGCUUGGUCUUGUUCAGUUGGUGGUUGCGUGUGUGACUUGGUAUGGGCCAAUAGUCUGUGGUGUAGUGGUAGACGAUCCACCUGACCCGUCUUGAAACACGGACCAAGGAGUUUAACAUAUGCGCGAGUCAUUGGGUGUUACGAAUCCCAAAGGCGAAAUGAAGGUAAAGGUUUGGCUUGUCCGAACUGAGGUGAGAUCCCGUUGGUUUGCCUAUUAACUUUACGAGAUGCGAACAGCGGGCGCAUCACCGGCCCGUCCCAUGACGUAGACGUGUGGCCCUGUGUCAUGCGCACCGUCGGGGCGGAGCAAGAGCGCGUAUGUUGAGACCCGAAAGAUGGUGAACUAUGC
RNAcentral lists this ribosomal RNA (879 nucleotides) under Spirorchiidae sp. Spirorch83. Its description in RNAcentral is "eukaryotic LSU rRNA". It matches the Rfam family "Eukaryotic large subunit ribosomal RNA", at positions 321 to 836 of the family's 3401-position model. Lineage: Eukaryota; Metazoa; Platyhelminthes; Trematoda; Strigeidida; Spirorchiidae. The record is from RNAcentral.